AGCUGUUUUGAGACUGCAUUAAAGAAGAUAACUUUAUUUAACCCACAUAAAGACCAAUACUCAUUGUUUGUUGAGAGCGGCAGAAUGAGUCCAUCCAAGAUUUUUGUCUUGUUUAGGUUUAAACUUGACUGUGAAAAAUAUCACGUGAUUUUCGUCAGGUUUCAUAUCGAAAAUGGUAGAUUUUUUUGUUUAAUACUAGCAGCACCGGUUUGAAAACGUCAAAACACCGUCAAAUUACAGUAGUUUUUGAUGCAAAUUUGUAUUAUUGUUUUUACAACCUAAAAUCUAAAUUCUGUAUGAUUAAUUAAGUUAUUUACCACAAAAAUGUCUUUUGACGUCAACUGGAAUAUAGACCAGUACAGGGAAGAGCAUGAAAGCGAAGAACACUGGCAGUUGCGGCGAGCUUUUAUAGAGAGGUGGAAACAAGAUUAUCCUGAAGAAAGACUGGUUUGUUUGGCCAGAGUCUUCACAAAUAUGGAGUUCAUGGGCUGCAGAUAUCCUAGUGAGCUCAUGCACGAAGUUGCGGGGCUCUCACAUGAGAUAGCGCAAUCUUACCGCAAUUCAAAGAAAAACAAACUGCAAAGAACGUUUGUAUCCGCUUCUACAGCUGCGGAAGACCGCGCGAAGGGAGUCAAACGUCAAGGUGGCGUGGUAACGGAAGGUCCACAGAGUAAAUCUGCUAGAAUUGAAUUCGUAAGACCCGGCCAGGAAAUACCGGACACUGAAACGAAAAACGAUGAAAAUGAAAUUGAAAAACAGCCUGAAAAAGACAACACAGUUCAGGAGAAAGAGAAAACAACUGAACAAAAUUACAGUAGCGAGUACUUACAGGAGUUGUUCCAAAUGGAAUGUUUAGACGUUAGAUCAUUUAGAGAGAGCAUGUUCCAGACUCCUUUCGGGAGGAUGGUGUUGAUCAUACGGCCGUGGGCUGGCCUUUUGAACAAUAUUCAAGCCAGCUUCCAGUUGAGUGGUGUUGCAGUACAAAGCGCCUACGAGAAUGGCGCUUACACAAUGACCGUCAACGGAAAGGAGCUGGCUAAGUGGAAGGGAGAGUCCAAAGCCAACGCCCGGAGUCAAGUGGAAAAGAUGGCUUGGGAUAAACUCCGCAAGCAAGCCAUCAGCGUGUUGGUGAAGGAGCAGUAUCUGGCUCAGGGCGAGCGCAUCUCCAUGAGCGAGGUGACGGCGCGCCCGGACAUCUUCGGAGCGCCCAUCGAGAACAGCGUCGCUACCAAAAUGAUGAAGCUUAUGGGUUGGAAAGGCGGCGGGCUAGGUGCAGACGCUCAAGGCAUCGCCGAGCCCAUCAAGCCCAACAUGCAGCUGGUGAACAGGGCCGGCCUAGGCAGCGGCUCGUCCGACACGCGUCAGCUACGCCGCGCGGCCCACGAGCUAAUGCGACGCUACCUCGCCUCAGACACUUUAGACUUAGACCUGGUGUUCAGUUCGGAGUUCAGUAAGGACGAGCGCGCGACCCUACACCAGGCGGCGCAGCGCGCUGGGCUCCAGUCAAGGAGCUAUGGCGCGGACAAAGACCGGUGGGUGGUUCAAGUCUCGCAGCGAGAGUUGAGGCGAAAACGUACUUACAUCAGCCAAAAAUCUAGCGAUUUCCCAGCGUUUGAGACAAGUGGGUGUACUAAUGACACGAGCAGCUAUAGAGACAGAUGGGUGUACUGUGUGACACGAGCUCAUGCGGCGCUACCUCGCCUCAGACACUUUACACUUAGACCUGGUGUUCAGUUCCGAGUUCAGUAAGGACGAGCGCGCGACCCUACACCAGGCGGCGCAGCGCGCUGGGCUCCAGUCAAAGAGCUAUGGCGCGGACAAAGACAGGUUCCUAGUGGUGAAGAAGAAGUUGGAUCCCUUCUCCUUAGCGCGCGCCGUCAUAGAAAAGGGCGGAGUCACACCCAAGUACAAAGUGUUCAUACCCGCUGACUUGCAGUGGGAGAGAUAGGCCAUAUCAUUUGAUAGGAAUGUAGCCGUUAAGUCAACUAGCUGAGAGGCGAUAAUAGCCUAAAGGUGACGGGCCUAGGAUUCGCGCCGCGAUAUAUUUUUGUCGUGCUAAUUUAUCGAUUUUACGCGAUAAGCCCAUACAUUUGUCUAAAAUGAUCGAUAAGAUUUUAUCACGGCGCGCAUCCUAGGCCGGCUGAUCUGCCUAUCCCGAUCGAGUUAACUGCGCAUCUCGCUGGAAUGCGACUCUCCUUCUCACUCACCCGCAUACCUCCCCAGUGGCGGCGUAGCAUGGGUUGGCACCCGGGGCGAUCACCCCCCUCCCCCCGUCAUAAGUCCUAAGGCACCCCCUGGUACACCCCCCAGGAUUUUGGGGUUACCUACCGAUUCAAAGACAAUCGCAGAUUUUCCAUGCAGAUGCGCCAGUGAGUACUGAUCUGCGCGACUUGUGUCACCCCCUAAUGCUUGGCA
This is an RNA transcript of Ostrinia furnacalis (Asian corn borer), 2415 nucleotides long. RefSeq lists it as uncharacterized. The transcript has 9 exons. The record is from RefSeq and is a predicted model, not a curated record. Lineage: Eukaryota; Metazoa; Arthropoda; Insecta; Lepidoptera; Crambidae.